Molecule: non-coding RNA, 54 nt
Organism: Salmo salar (Atlantic salmon)
Lineage: Eukaryota; Metazoa; Chordata; Actinopteri; Salmoniformes; Salmonidae
Source: Rfam
ACUAAAUGUAUUUGUAAGUCGCUCUGGAUAAGAGCGUCUGCUAAAUAACUUAAA